Long non-coding RNA from Cyprinus carpio (common carp), 2214 nucleotides. Lineage: Eukaryota; Metazoa; Chordata; Actinopteri; Cypriniformes; Cyprinidae. The record is from Ensembl.
UAGUAAAUUGAUUUUCAAUAAAAACUCAAAUUCAUAAUCAUGCCUCCACACCAGAUUUUUAUUAUGCCAGAAAUUUGAUUUGUAUCAUAAGGAGUUUCCUAUUGUUGGCAGUAUAUUACCAUGGCAACACAUCCUGUGCAGUGAGGUAAUGUGUGUCCCUCUGGUGAGGGUGCAGCAGACCAGUGUCAGUCACAUUAACCCCUGGUUAAACACACGUUAGACCGUUUUGACGCAAACACCCAGCAGUGCAGUGCGUGCAGGUCAAACAAAAUGGCUUUGACAGCAGUCCAUGGAUUUCACUAGAGAACAAUGAAAAAGAGGAUAGACUAAAACAAAGGAAUUAGUAUGAUUCAUCAACUGUUACUAACUUUAGGUCCAUUAAGCCACACCUCCAUCCAGGACUGAUUGACAGCUGACAUUCUGUCUGUGGAUAAAAGCUGUGCAAAUAAAAGAUUAUGCUUCAUUUACCACCAGUACCACUCUGGAGACUCUAUUACAGAAGCUCUUCAGCCAGAGGAAUACCAUUCAGUGAAUUUAAAUCCCAUUUCACUUUCUUCAGCAUGAGGCACAUUAGACUACAUUAUACCGGCGCUGCAUUCUUCUUACUGCUGUUCUCUGCAACAGGUGCUGAGCCCUACAGUCUUUUAAAAGUCCUCGAGGGCCUCCAGGCAGAGCCACAGAACUACCCUUCACCCCUGUACUCGUUCUCCCUCUGCAUGGAGAUCAACAACCGUGUCUUCAGCGACGCUCUCCUCAACUCAAGCUCACAGCAGUACAAGCGCAUGUAUGCAGAGGUUGCUGGAGCUCUGGACAUCGCCUUUAACUGCUCUGACUGUGACACAAGAGAAACCUACAGAGGAGUGACGAACAUACAGUUCAGUAACGGGUCUGUGAUCGCAAAUUGUACCAUCCAGUUCCAGACCAUUUUUAUCAACCAUGUUGUGAUCAAACAUUUGUUCUUGAGGGCUGUAGAUAACACUCAGCUGAAUGGUCUUGAAGUCAACAGAAAGUACACUGAUGAAAUAGUCACACCUAUCUGGCUUUUUCCAAAAUCCUCAACUCCGAUGGCAGAAACUAGUGUUCAGGGGCUUCCUGGGUGGGCCAUUGCAUUGUUAGUGCUGGCAUGCAUCAUCAUCCUGCUUCUCUUCAUCAUCUUACUACUGAUAUGCUUUUGGUGCUGUAGGAGAAAAGAAAAAAAGGAAGAAACACAAACAGUAACACCGUAUGAGAGAACGUCUUUCAAAGAGCAUCUUGCCAAUCCCACAUAUAUGUCACACGCACCUGAGAAGAGCCCCAACUACCGGAGCUUGGGAGAACCGGAAGCACAACAUGGCAACCUAUCAGGGAUCUACAUGAAUCCUCAGAGAUGAAAACCACAACACCACUCACUAUAAGAGAGAGGCAUGGAGUAACUGAUGCCAUGAAGAGUCAGGAUGGUUUCUCUCACAGAAGAUGCUGGUUUCUUCAGCAAGUUUCUAAAAAUGUGGACUUGUCAUCAUUACCAUGUGUAAUAUAAGUAUUAUACUCAACUGAAUAGAAAACUAUUUAUUUCUGUACUAUUUAUGAAGCACAGAUAUGGGGAUUUGGGUCUGUGAACUUUUGCAUCUCUUACUCUGUUCAGUGGAACACCAUAAGGCUGGGGCUAGUUUUCACACUUAAUACUCCACUAAAUAUUUACCAGGUUAGGUUUAUUCUCUGAACAUUUGCACUGCUUCAACAAACUUAAAGUGUGCAUGAUAAUAGGUGGUGUGUUUGUGAAAUUUAAACAGUAAAGCACAUUUAAACAAGAUCAUUUCUAAAACAGUGACAAAAGUUAAACAAUCAAUACAUAUUAAAUAUGAAAACAAUGUUUUGGCCAAAAGGGAUUGCAAUUCAUAAAUUGUACCAACUAAAUUACAUGUCAAUGCUUCCCUAUGUGACAUCUUGCCCCCGUGUCUUUUACAGUAUAUCUUAGGCUACAGAAGGAGAGUAGAUCUCUUAAAUUUAAAGAUUUUAUGUUUGAUACUAUAUGUGGGGGUUUGGUAUCUCCAGAUUACAAGUUUAUCGAUUCAUAAAUGUCUUUUCAUUUGACAUCAUUCAUUCAGGUUAUUUGUAUGGUCAUAUACACUUAUUUUACACUUUCUGUGGGAAGAACUGUUGUAUUCAAUGCACAACACUUCAACAAAGCAAUAUAUUAUCAAUUACAUUAUAAAUAAAUAAAGUUCAUACAGUACA